This 468-nucleotide ribosomal RNA is filed under the name uncultured bacterium. Its description in RNAcentral is "partial 16S ribosomal RNA". It matches the Rfam family "Bacterial small subunit ribosomal RNA", at positions 28 to 507 of the family's 1533-position model. The record is from RNAcentral.
GACGAACGCUGGCGGCGUGCUUAACACAUGCAAGUCGAACGGAAAGGCCCUGCUUUUGUGGGGUGCUCGAGUGGCGAACGGGUGAGUAACACGUGAGUAACCUGCCCUUGACUUUGGGAUAACUUCAGGAAACUGGGGCUAAUACCGGAUAGGAGCUCCUGCUGCAUGGUGGGGGUUGGAAAGUUUCGGCGGUUGGGGAUGGACUCGCGGCUUAUCAGCUUGUUGGUGGGGUAGUGGCUUACCAAGGCUUUGACGGGUAGCCGGCCUGAGAGGGUGACCGGCCACAUGGGGACUGAGAUAGGGCCCAGACUGCAACGAGAGGCAGCAGUGGGGAAUAUUGCACAAUGGGCGGAAGCCUGAUACAGCAACGCCGCGUGCGGGAUGACGGCCUUCGGGUUGUAAACCGCUUUCGCCUGUGACGAAGCGUGAGUGACGGUAAUGGGUAAAGAAGCACCGGCUAACUACGUG